RNAcentral lists this unclassified non-coding RNA (232 nucleotides) under Hevea brasiliensis (rubber tree). The record is from RNAcentral. Lineage: Eukaryota; Viridiplantae; Streptophyta; Magnoliopsida; Malpighiales; Euphorbiaceae.
UAAAAGAAAACUAAACUUUCUAUAACUACAGCACUCCCUUACAAACAUGGGGUUAAAUUGACAUUUACUUUUCAAAAGUUUGUCGUCCAGUUGAGAUGACCCAAUUGAGGCUGCUGAUAAGCACCAACUUGUGCCCCUGGUGCAGCCGGGGCAACCCCAACUCCAACAUUACCACCCAAAACUGGACCCAAAUGAUGUGGAUUUGCCAUUGCGGCAGGUGUUGGAGGAGGGG